AAUAUUGCACAAUGGGGGAAACCCUGAUGCAGCGACGCCGCGUGAAGGAAGAAGUAUUUCGGUAUGUAAACUUCUAUCAGCAGGGAAGAAAAUGACGGUACCUGACUAAGAAGCCCCGGCUAACUACGUGCCAGCAGCCGCGGUAAUACGUAGGGGGCAAGCGUUAUCCGGAUUUACUGGGUGUAAAGGGAGCGUAGACGGAGCUGCAAGUCUGAUGUGAAAGCCCGGGGCUCAACCCCGGGACUGCAUUGGAAACUGUAGAUCUAGAGUGCCGGAGAGGUAAGCGGAAUUCCUAGUGUAGCGGUGAAAUGCGUAGAUAUUAGGAGGAACACCAGUGGCGAAGGCGGCUUACUGGACGGUGACUGACGUUGAGGCUCGAAAGCGUGGGGAGCAAACA
Molecule: ribosomal RNA, 397 nt
Filed under: uncultured bacterium
Lineage: Bacteria
Description: bacterial SSU rRNA
Rfam family: Bacterial small subunit ribosomal RNA
Source: RNAcentral